RNAcentral lists this ribosomal RNA (170 nucleotides) under uncultured bacterium. Its description in RNAcentral is "partial 16S ribosomal RNA". It matches the Rfam family "Bacterial small subunit ribosomal RNA", at positions 337 to 524 of the family's 1533-position model. The record is from RNAcentral.
UCCUACGGGAGGCAGCAGGGGGGAAUAUUGCACAAUGGAGGAAACUCUGAUGCAGCAACGCCGCGUGAGUGAUGAAGGUCUUCGGAUCGUAAAGCUCUUUGAUUGGGGACGAUAAUGACGGUACCCAAAGAACAAGCCACGGCUAACUACGUGCCAGCAGCCGCGGUAAU